GUGGGGAAUAUUGCACAAUGGGGGAAACCCUGAUGCAGCAACGCCGCGUGAGUGAUGAAGGUCUUCGGAUUGUAAAACUCUGUCUUUGGGGACGAUAAUGACGGUACCCAAGGAGGAAGCCACGGCUAACUACGUGCCAGCAGCCGCGGUAAUACGUAGGUGGCAAGCGUUGUCCGGAUUUACUGGGCGUAAAGGGAGCGUAGGCGGAUUUUUAAGUGGGAUGUGAAAUACCCGGGCUUAACCUGGGUGCUGCAUUCCAAACUGGAAGUCUAGAGUACAGGAGGGGAAAGUGGAAUUCCUAGUGUAGCGGUGAAAUGCGUAGAGAUUAGGAAGAACACCGGUGGCGAAGGCGACUUUCUGGACUGUAACUGACGCUGAGGCUCGAAAGCGUGGGGAGCAAACAGGAUUAGAUACCCGGGUAGUCC
Molecule: ribosomal RNA, 425 nt
Filed under: uncultured bacterium
Lineage: Bacteria
Description: partial 16S ribosomal RNA
Rfam family: Bacterial small subunit ribosomal RNA
Source: RNAcentral